UUAUGGCCAUAUCAUGCUGAAACACUAGUUCUUGUCUGAUCACCAAAGUUAAGCAAUGUUGAGCAUGGUCAGUACCUAGAUGAGUGACCACUUGGUAAGACUAAGUGCUGUAA
This is a non-coding RNA of Acanthosepion pharaonis, 113 nucleotides long. The record is from the annotation of a GenBank genome assembly. Lineage: Eukaryota; Metazoa; Mollusca; Cephalopoda; Sepiida; Sepiidae.